GUCUAAACAAAAUACUCCACUUCACCAGGGGAUUACAUGACCCAUCAAGUUAGCCAGGUGUGUCUGACGGUGAUUAUGGCUAUCUGUUGUAUAAUAAUGACAACAUAUUUGUAUUUGGAAUUUGUCUUUCAGCAUCAGUAGAACACACCUGACUCUCCUCCACCAUUCAUACAAGGAGAAUUGUCUAAUGCCUCCAAUCAAAAAGAGAGCUGGCCCAAGCAUGGACAGGUUACACCUGAUGCAUGUGGACUUGCAGCGAGUUGUGAACUUCAUCAACAACUAUGCAGAGGAUAAUGCAAGAGUAUUACCACGAAGCCACCCAGGACACAAACACUUUGGUGGAAAGCUGCUGCCAUCCCAUGUGACAAAAGCAGCGGUGUGGUGUCACCCCAAGGAAUCGAUGACAACACUUGCUUCGAUGCUCUGGAGCCUGGUGUUGUUGUCGCCAAGGAGCGUUCGGGACCAGGUUUCAACUGCUGUGCAAUGCGGACAUCCUUCUUCCCAUAGAUAGUCUGCCUGUUCAAGCACCACCUGGACUGGACACAGCUAGACAAACGUAUCUUUUUGAGAAGAUUCGGGAGUUUAGCGACAAAAAGGCUAUGGACAUCACAUGCCCUGCACCAAAGUCAAGGGCAGGACAGAAACAGGCUUUCCAAAUAUAGAUUCCCUUGUUCAUGCGUGGUUCAGACUGACCAGUCAUCAGCAUUAUCUGCAGUGCCUCUAUUCAAAUGACUUUUUUUUCUGCUGCUCAGCCACUUUACCCCUGAUUGUAUGCAUAUAACUACCUCAUCUAUCACUGAUAUUGUUAUUGAUAUUGUUCUUGUACAUACUGUAUAUUAUUUGAUUUAUAUUGACACUAUCUAUAUCUGAUAUUGGUACUAUGCAUGUAACCAUUUGGCUGUACCGUUUACACUUUCUGUAGAAACCCACUUAGCAAGAUGUGGCUGGUGUUACAGCAUUUCUUUCAUAUGACCCAUCAAUAUAGACAAGUGUGUCUGGGUAAGCGUCAUGUAAUAUUUUUAAAAUAUUUUUAUCUGGACAAUUUCUGUUUACCUGGAAUUUUUCCUUAUUGUAGGCAGUGGUGUAAAGUACUUAAGUUAUGUUUACUUUUACUCAAGUUUGACAAUUGGGUACUUUUUCCACCACUGAUU
This 1151-nucleotide long non-coding RNA is filed under the name Oncorhynchus kisutch (coho salmon). Its description in RNAcentral is "lncRNA (ENSOKIG00005020572.1)". The record is from RNAcentral. Lineage: Eukaryota; Metazoa; Chordata; Actinopteri; Salmoniformes; Salmonidae.